GGGGCUUCCUCUCAUCUGUCUCUUUCCCUGGAGAGGCGACUCUGGCUCUCAAUGUGCUAAGCGUUUCAACAUCUUGGCGUGGUGGCAGCAUUUGGGUUUUCGUGGUCACAUCCAUAGACUACUAUAUCUUCAAGAAUCCUGACUGCCACACUGGGAAAUAAAGACACAUGAUGCUGUGAUGGCAGACAAGCAAACUGGAA
This 200-nucleotide long non-coding RNA is filed under the name Monodelphis domestica (gray short-tailed opossum). Its description in RNAcentral is "lncRNA (ENSMODG00000050621.1)". Lineage: Eukaryota; Metazoa; Chordata; Mammalia; Didelphimorphia; Didelphidae. The record is from RNAcentral.